GGUACGCCCGGGCAAGCAGCGGGGGUAAUAGGGGGGGGGCAAGCGUUAAUCGGAAUUACUGGGCGGAAAGCGUGCGCUGGCGGCUUAUUAAGUCAGAUGUGAAAUCCCUAGGCUCAACCUAGGAACUGCAUUUGAAACUAAUAAACUAGAGUAUCGUAGAGGGAGGUAGAAUUCCAGGUGUAGCGGUGAAAUGCGUAGAUAUCUGGAGGAAUACCAGUGGCGAAGGCGACCUCCUGGACGAAAACUGACGCUCAAGCACGAAAGCAUGGGGAGCAAACAGGAUUAGAUACCCCAGUAGUC
RNAcentral lists this ribosomal RNA (300 nucleotides) under uncultured Methanocalculus sp. RNAcentral describes it as "bacterial SSU rRNA". It matches the Rfam family "Bacterial small subunit ribosomal RNA", at positions 496 to 795 of the family's 1533-position model. The record is from RNAcentral. Lineage: Archaea; Methanobacteriati; Methanobacteriota; Methanomicrobia; Methanomicrobiales; Methanocalculaceae.